GGCGGCGUGCCUAAUACAUGCAAGUCGAGCGAACUGAUUAGAAGCUUGCUUCUAUGACGUUAGCGGCGGACGGGUGAGUAACACGUGGGCAACCUGCCUGUAAGACUGGGAUAACUUCGGGAAACCGAAGCUAAUACCGGAUAGGAUCUUCUCCUUCAUGGGAGAUGAUUGAAAGAUGGUUUCGGCUAUCACUUACAGAUGGGCCCGCGGUGCAUUAGCUAGUUGGUGAGGUAACGGCUCACCAAGGCAACGAUGCAUAGCCGACCUGAGAGGGUGAUCGGCCACACUGGGACUGAGACACGGCCCAGACUCCUACGGGAGGCAGCAGUAGGGAAUCUUCCGCAAUGGACGAAAGUCUGACGGAGCAACGCCGCGUGAGUGAUGAAGGCUUUCGGGUCGUAAAACUCUGUUGUUAGGGAAGAACAAGUACAAGAGUAACUGCUCGUACCUUGACGGUACCUAACCAGAAAGCCACGGCUAACUACGUGCCAGCAGCCGCGGUAAUACGUAGGUGGCAAGCGUUAUCCGGAAUUAUUGGGCGUAAAGCGCGCGCAGGCGGUUUCUUAAGUCUGAUGUGAAAGCCCACGGCUCAACCGUGGAGGGUCAUUGGAAACUGGGGAACUUGAGUGCAGAAGAGAAAAGCGGAAUUCCACGUGUAGCGGUGAAAUGCGUAGAGAUGUGGAGGAACACCAGUGGCGAAGGCGGCUUUUUGGUCUGUAACUGACGCUGAGGCGCGAAAGCGUGGGGAGCAAACAGGAUUAGAUAC
This 766-nucleotide ribosomal RNA is filed under the name Priestia megaterium. Its description in RNAcentral is "bacterial SSU rRNA". It matches the Rfam family "Bacterial small subunit ribosomal RNA", at positions 38 to 785 of the family's 1533-position model. The record is from RNAcentral. Lineage: Bacteria; Bacillati; Bacillota; Bacilli; Caryophanales; Bacillaceae.